Gymnothorax javanicus (giant moray) is the source of this 73-nucleotide non-coding RNA. The record is from the annotation of a GenBank genome assembly. Lineage: Eukaryota; Metazoa; Chordata; Actinopteri; Anguilliformes; Muraenidae.
GGAGCCUGAAGCUAAGUGGUCAAAGGGGUUGGCUGAGACCCAAAAGGUUGUUGGUUCUAACCCAGGGCUACCA